GACGGGUGAGUAACGCGUGGGUAACCUGCCUCAUACAGGGGGAUAACAGUUAGAAAUGACUGCUAAUACCGCAUAAGCGCACAGUGCUGCAUGGCACAGUGUGAAAAACUCCGGUGGUAUGAGAUGGACCCGCGUCUGAUUAGCUAGUUGGUGGGGUAACGGCCUACCAAGGCGACGAUCAGUAGCCGGCCUGAGAGGGUGAACGGCCACAUUGGGACUGAGACACGGCCCAAACUCCUACGGGAGGCAGCAUG
Molecule: ribosomal RNA, 254 nt
Filed under: uncultured bacterium
Lineage: Bacteria
Description: partial 16S ribosomal RNA
Rfam family: Bacterial small subunit ribosomal RNA
Source: RNAcentral